GCUCCCGUAGCUCAGCUGGAUAGAGCACUUGACUACGAAUCAAGGGGUCGGACGUUCGAAUCGUUCCGGGAGCGCCA
RNAcentral lists this transfer RNA (77 nucleotides) under Myxococcales bacterium. Its description in RNAcentral is "tRNA-Arg". It matches the Rfam family "tRNA". From Rfam's summary of the family: Transfer RNA (tRNA) molecules are approximately 80 nucleotides in length. Their secondary structure includes four short double-helical elements and three loops (D, anti-codon, and T loops). Further hydrogen bonds mediate the characteristic L-shaped molecular structure. tRNAs have two regions of fundamental functional importance: the anti-codon, which is responsible for specific mRNA codon recognition, and the 3' end, to which the tRNAs corresponding amino acid is attached (by aminoacyl-tRNA synthetases). tRNAs cope with the degeneracy of the genetic code in two manners: having more than one tRNA (with a specific anti-codon) for a particular amino acid; and 'wobble' base-pairing, i.e. permitting non-standard base-pairing at the 3rd anti-codon position. The record is from RNAcentral. Lineage: Bacteria; Pseudomonadati; Myxococcota; Myxococcia; Myxococcales.